This 384-nucleotide ribosomal RNA is filed under the name uncultured bacterium. RNAcentral describes it as "bacterial SSU rRNA". It matches the Rfam family "Bacterial small subunit ribosomal RNA", at positions 975 to 1354 of the family's 1533-position model. The record is from RNAcentral.
CUGGUCUUGACAUCCACGGAAGUUUUCAGAGAUGAGAAUGUGCCUUCGGGAACCGUGAGACAGGUGCUGCAUGGCUGUCGUCAGCUCGUGUUGUGAAAUGUUGGGUUAAGUCCCGCAACGAGCGCAACCCUUAUCCUUUGUUGCCAGCGGUCCGGCCGGGAACUCAAAGGAGACUGCCAGUGAUAAACUGGAGGAAGGUGGGGAUGACGUCAAGUCAUCAUGGCCCUUACGACCAGGGCUACACACGUGCUACAAUGGCGCAUACAAAGAGAAGCGACCUCGCGAGAGCAAGCGGACCUCAUAAAGUGCGUCUUAGUCUCGGAUUGGAGUGCUGCAACUCGACCUCACAUGAAGUCUGGAAUCGCUAGUAAUCGCGGAUCAGAA